GAUGAACGCUGGCGGCGUGCCUAAUACAUGCAGGUCGAGCGAACAGACGAGGAGCUUGCCCCUCUGACGUUAGCGGCGGACGGGUGAGUAACACGUGGAUAACCUACCUAUAAGACUGGGAUAACUUCGGGAAACCGGAGCUAAUACCGGAUAAUAUAUUGAACCGCAUGGUUCAAUAGUGAAAGACGGUUUUGCUGUCACUUAUAGAUGGAUCCGCGCCGCAUUAGCUAGUUGGUAAGGUAACGGCUUACCAAGGCAACGAUGCGUAGCCGACCUGAGAGGGUGAUCGGCCACACUGGAACUGAGACACGGUCCAGACUCCUACGAGAGGCAGCAGUAGGGAAUCUUCCGCAAUGGGCGAAAGCUUGACGGAGCAACGCCGCGUGAGUGAUGAAGGUCUUCGGAUCGUAAAACUCUGUUAUUAGGGAAGAACAAAUGUGUAAGUAACUAUGCACGUCUUGACGGUACCUAAUCAGAAAGCCACGGCUAACUACGUG
RNAcentral lists this ribosomal RNA (497 nucleotides) under uncultured bacterium. Its description in RNAcentral is "partial 16S ribosomal RNA". It matches the Rfam family "Bacterial small subunit ribosomal RNA", at positions 28 to 507 of the family's 1533-position model. The record is from RNAcentral.